GAGAUGCCCCUAUGGAGCAGGACUUGCUUCAGUGGAACUUUGGUGCUCAUCGAGUCUGCCCCGUGAGUGUGUCGCU
Molecule: microRNA precursor, 76 nt
Filed under: Myotis lucifugus (little brown bat)
Lineage: Eukaryota; Metazoa; Chordata; Mammalia; Chiroptera; Vespertilionidae
Description: mir-9229 microRNA precursor family
Rfam family: mir-9229 microRNA precursor family
Source: Rfam by way of RNAcentral